UGGCUCAUUAAAACAGUUAUAGUUUAUUUGAUGGUCUUUACUACAUGGAUAACCGUGGUAAUUCUAUGGCUAAUACAUGCGCACAUGCCUCUUCCCCUGGAAGGCAGUGUUUAUUAGAUACAGAACCAACCCACCUUCCGGUGGUCCUCAGGUGAUUCAUAGUAACCGAACGGAUCGCGUUGACUUCGGUCUGCGACGGAUCAUUCAAGUUUCUGACCUAUCAGCUUUCGACGGUACUGUAUUGGACUACCGUGGCA
Molecule: ribosomal RNA, 257 nt
Filed under: Toxoplasma gondii
Lineage: Eukaryota; Apicomplexa; Conoidasida; Eucoccidiorida; Sarcocystidae
Description: partial small subunit ribosomal RNA
Rfam family: Eukaryotic small subunit ribosomal RNA
Source: RNAcentral